UAUUAUAAUAUGAAUACGCUAUCAUAAAAACGAAGGAGCUGGGCUGAAAUGGGAACUAUCAUUUGCCAAGACUGUCAGCAGGUAAUUGAGCAUUUUGAUGAUGAGAAAGUAACAACCCUAUAUGGCGCUUGUCCUGAUUGUAAAUAAUAUAAAAAUGAGUGGCAUCCUAAGCGGUGCCACUCAUUUUUAU
Molecule: small RNA, 190 nt
Filed under: Virgibacillus phasianinus
Lineage: Bacteria; Bacillati; Bacillota; Bacilli; Caryophanales; Bacillaceae
Description: Virgibacillus sp. LM2416 SR1 sRNA
Rfam family: SR1 sRNA
Source: Rfam by way of RNAcentral